Molecule: ribosomal RNA, 494 nt
Filed under: uncultured bacterium
Lineage: Bacteria
Description: partial 16S ribosomal RNA
Rfam family: Bacterial small subunit ribosomal RNA
Source: RNAcentral
GACGAACGCUGGCGGCGUGCUUAACACAUGCAAGUCGAACGGAAAGGCCUGCUUUCCCUUGUGGAUUGCGGGUACUCGAGUGGCGAACGGGUGAGUAACACGUGAGUGAUCUGCCCCCAACUUGGGUAUAAGCCUGGGAAACUGGGUCUAAUUCCCGAUAGGACUGCAGGGUGGUGCCUGUGGUGGAAAACGAUUUUCUAGUGGUUGGGGAUGAGCUCGCGGCCUAUCAGCUUGUUGGUGGGGUAAUGACCUACCAAGGCGGCGACGGGUAGCCGGCCUGAGAGGGUGGACGGCCACAUUGGGACUGAGAUACGGCCCAGACUCCUACGGGAGGCAGCAGUGGGGAAUAUUGCACAAUGGGCGGAAGCCUGAUGCAGCGACGCCGCGUGGGGGAUGACGGCCUUCGGGUUGUAAACUCCUUUCGACCGCGAGGGAGCCACCUGGUUGGAAGGGUGGUGACGGUAGUGGUAGAAGAAGCACCGGCUAACUACGUG